AAAAACAUCGCCUCUUGCUAAACCAAAAGUAUAAGAGGUCCCGCCUGCCCUGUGACUAUAUGUUUAACGGCCGCGGUAUUUUGACCGUGCGAAGGUAGCGCAAUCACUUGUCUUUUAAAUGGGGACCUGUAUGAAUGGCAUAACGAGGGCUUAACUGUCUCCUUUUUCAAGUCAGUGAAAUUGAUCUCCCCGUGCAGAAGCGGGGAUAGACACAUAAGACGAGAAGACCCUGUGGAGCUUCAGACACUAAAGCAGAUCAGUAUUAAUACCCUGAACAUAAGGCACGAAUAAGAUGAUUCCUGCCCUAAUGUCUUCGGUUGGGGCGACCGCGGAGAAAUAUAUAACCCCCGCAAGGACUGAAUGUACUACAUUCACAACCAAGAGUGACAACUCUAAUUAACAGAACUUCUGACCAAUAAGAUCCGGCAAUGCCGAUUAAUGAACCAAGUUACCCCAGGGAUAACAGCGCAAUCUCCUCUUAGAGUCCAUAUCGACGAGGAGGUUUACGACCUCGAUGUUGGAUCAGGACAUCCUAAUGGUGCAACCGCUAUUAAGGGUUCGUUUGUUCAACGAUUAAAGUCCUACGUGAUCUGAG
RNAcentral lists this ribosomal RNA (595 nucleotides) under Epinephelus itajara (Atlantic goliath grouper). RNAcentral's name for it is "partial 16S ribosomal RNA". It matches the Rfam family "Bacterial large subunit ribosomal RNA", at positions 1809 to 2609 of the family's 2925-position model. Lineage: Eukaryota; Metazoa; Chordata; Actinopteri; Perciformes; Serranidae. The record is from RNAcentral.